GACGAACGCUGGCGGCGUGCUUAACACAUGCAAGUCGAACGAAGAGCGAUGGAAGCUUGCUUCUAUCAAUCUUAGUGGCGAACGGGUGAGUAACGCGUAAUCAACCUGCCCUUCAGAGGGGGACAACAGUUGGAAACGACUGCUAAUACCGCAUACGAUCUAACCUCGGCAUCGAGGAUGGAUGAAGGUGGCCUCUAUUUAUAAGCUAUCACUGAAGGAGGGGAUUGCGUCUGAUUAGCUAGUUGGAGGGGUAACGGCCCACCAAGGCGAUGAUCAGUAGCCGGUCUGAGAGGAUGAACGGCCACAUUGGGACUGAGACACGGCCCAGACUCCUACGGGAGGCAGCAGUGGGGAAUCUUCCGCAAUGGACGAAAGUCUGACGGAGCAACGCCGCGUGAGUGAUGACGGCCUUCGGGUUGUAAAGCUCUGUUAAUCGGGACGAAAGGCCUUCUUGCGAAUAGUUAGAAGGAUUGACGGUACCGGAAUAGAAAGCCACGGCUAACUACGUG
This 509-nucleotide ribosomal RNA is filed under the name uncultured bacterium. RNAcentral's name for it is "partial 16S ribosomal RNA". It matches the Rfam family "Bacterial small subunit ribosomal RNA", at positions 28 to 507 of the family's 1533-position model. The record is from RNAcentral.